RNAcentral lists this microRNA precursor (93 nucleotides) under Canis lupus familiaris (dog). RNAcentral's name for it is "mir-8799 microRNA precursor family". It matches the Rfam family "mir-8799 microRNA precursor family". Lineage: Eukaryota; Metazoa; Chordata; Mammalia; Carnivora; Canidae. The record is from Rfam by way of RNAcentral. RNAcentral also lists the same sequence under 1 other name.
CGGGGGACCGCAGGAUCCUGGGCUGUGUCCCCCGGUGCCCUGGGAUCCGGGGCCUGCGCUGCUGGAAUCACGCUCCUCAGUCUGCAUCUCCCG